GAUGAACGCUGGCGGCGUGCCUAAUACAUGCAAGUCGAGCGAACAGACGAGGAGCUUGCUCCUCUGACGUUAGCGGCGGACGGGUGAGUAACACGUGGAUAACCUACCUAUAAGACUGGGAUAACUUCGGGAAACCGGAGCUAAUACCGGAUAAUAUAUUGAACCGCAUGGUUCAAUAGUGAAAGACGGUUUUGCUGUCACUUAUAGAUGGAUCCGCGCCGCAUUAGCUAGUUGGUAAGGUAACGGCUUACCAAGGCAACGAUGCGUAGCCGACCUGAGAGGGUGAUCGGCCACACUGGAACUGAGACACGGUCCAGACUCCUACGGGAGGCAGCAGUAGGGAAUCUUCCGCAAUGGGCGAAAGCCUGACGGAGCAACGCCGCGUGAGUGAUGAAGGUCUUCGGAUCGUAAAACUCUGUUAUUAGGGAAGAACAAAUGUGUAAGUAACUAUGCACGUCUUGACGGUACCCAAUCAGAAAGCCACGGCCAACUACGUG
Molecule: ribosomal RNA, 497 nt
Filed under: uncultured bacterium
Lineage: Bacteria
Description: partial 16S ribosomal RNA
Rfam family: Bacterial small subunit ribosomal RNA
Source: RNAcentral